RNAcentral lists this ribosomal RNA (380 nucleotides) under uncultured bacterium. Its description in RNAcentral is "bacterial SSU rRNA". It matches the Rfam family "Bacterial small subunit ribosomal RNA", at positions 338 to 711 of the family's 1533-position model. The record is from RNAcentral.
CCUACGGGAGGCAGCAGUGGGGAAUUUUGGGCAAUGGGCGCAAGCCUGAUCCAGCCAUGCCGCGUGUGGGAAGAAGGCCUUCGGGUUGUAAACCACUUUUGUCAGGGAAGAAACGGCUUUUUCUAAUACAGAGAGCUAAUGACGGUACCUGAAGAAUAAGCACCGGCUAACUACGUGCCAGCAGCCGCGGUAAUACGUAGGGUGCAAGCGUUAAUCGGAAUUACUGGGCGUAAAGCGUGCGCAGGCGGCUUUGCAAGACAGAUGUGAAAUCCCCGGGCUCAACCUGGGAACUGCAUUUGUGACUGCAUGGCUAGAGUACGGUAGAGGGGGAUGGAAUUCCGCGUGUAGCAGUGAAAUGCGUAGAUAUGCGAGGAACACGA